This 28-nucleotide non-coding RNA is filed under the name Homo sapiens (human). The record is from RNAcentral. Lineage: Eukaryota; Metazoa; Chordata; Mammalia; Primates; Hominidae.
UUGCAGCUCAAUGAUGUGUAUGUAGGGC